AGAACUGCCUGCAGUUCCUCCCAGCAGCCACCUUCUUCCUUCUGCCAAUGCGACUCUUCUCCUUCUGGGGUUCUUUGGCUGAGACUGGGCCAGUGAGCAGCUGAGACUGGAGAUGGGUGAGAGCUGGAACAUCUGCUGCUUCUUUUGGAAAGGGGUAAAGAAAAGGUUUAUAUGCUGCCAAAGCACCACUGUCUACUAAGUUUUUGAGGAAACCAUAUUGCUAGAGAAACUGCAAGCCUGAGCAGCCUCCAAUUGUUGAAGACUUACAUCCAUCUUGGACCUCCAAACAUUCAUAAGCAGGAAGCAGGCCUCAAAAACUAUGGCCCCCAAAUGAGGGCUUGUUCCCCAACCCCCACUUUAGACAUGGAGAAGAAGAAUAAUGGACAAGGAGGCUCCUCCCAGAAGGAUCCAAGGACCCCUGAGGUUGGUGGACAAUGGACUUCCAGCACAGAUUGGAAUCAGAACACAAUCAAGGACACUGUCUCUCCAAUAGAAACUCUUCCUAUGUCUGCCCAGAGUAAUUCCUUAACUGUGAUGGACAAAGAGCUGUGGCAUCAUUGCUUUCCAUUUUUUGAAUGAAAGUUAUGGUGCAGUAAUCCUUUCCCUGCUCCAGCAGGUGAGGGGGUGGCAGAGAGGGGCCAAUAAUUUGUCAUUUUGUUCCUAGAUUGCCAGACCAAGAGGAGCUAUGUCUUGGUCUGCAAAAAAGAACCAGACAUUGCCACAAAUCCUGGGCUUGAGCUGAAUGCAGGGACUGGUGGGUUUCUCUGUUGUGUCCCUUGGAGAGGGAGUGAAGACUUCUUAUGCAGUGCCUCUCAACAUAUUCUAACCUUCCUGCCUGCUAGGCUUGCCAUGUGUUGUGUUCCAGACAGUAAAAUUUAAGCAGAAGUUCUGACUUUCUUACUGCUGGGCUAAGGUAGUUACGUACUAGUGUACUAGUGUGUCUCCCCACAAUGAACCUCCCACCUUCUUCCCACAAAGCCCAAGGGAUAAAAUUCAGGGCAAAUUAGAAUCCAAAAGAAGGAGCCACAAAGUGGAAGAAACCUGGAUGCCUGAGUCACUAUGUGGGGAAAACACCAACUAAAAAGCUUUAUGUGAUCCACAUUUGAUAUGAGUGAGAAAUAAAUUUUUGAUUGUUUUAGGCCAUUGAUAUUUUGAGAUUGCAACAACAGCUAGUAUAAGUUAGCCCAAUGCUUUAGGAAAACGUCUAUUUGUUUAUCUAAUCUAUGAAGAUCACUGACUCAUUACUCUGUUUUGUUUUCUUAAUGAACACAAUAUACCAUGUGGGUAAGAGAUAAGGGGAAGGGGUGGAGGGGGGAUUUGGAGCCAGAAGACAAGAAGUUCUCUCUUUGCCUAUUCAUGCGUAUUUAGUAAAUUAACAUUUCCAUGCUGGGUCAUGAUUAUUUUCCCUGACCCUGCCCAGAAGAAAGCAAUCUCCAACUGUAUACUCACUGGCAUUUUGCUUUCAGGGAUACCGUUUUGUAAUUGGGCUCGGUUCAGUCCUCAUGGUCUGAAGAGAAAAUGAUAUACCAUGCUUUAAUAAGAGAUGUUCUGUCUUUAGUGCAAGACCCAGCCCACUGUUUGUAAUAAACUCUGAAGUCUG
Molecule: long non-coding RNA, 1600 nt
Organism: Homo sapiens (human)
Lineage: Eukaryota; Metazoa; Chordata; Mammalia; Primates; Hominidae
Source: Ensembl